Molecule: long non-coding RNA, 1415 nt
Filed under: Homo sapiens (human)
Lineage: Eukaryota; Metazoa; Chordata; Mammalia; Primates; Hominidae
Description: non-protein coding lnc-TGFBRAP1-15:1
Source: RNAcentral
UCCUGUUUCCUUCCAGUUUGCUUCCUGUUCCUGCAGUGUCACUCCAGCCUCAUCUCUUCAUGCAGACAGCAGCAGUUCAUUGCAGUAGUAACAGCCGGACCUAGUUUGCAGCUUUUCCAGCACUCAGAACCAGCUUCAUCUCACCCUGUGAGAGAUGCCUGCACCAGCCAGCUGGUGUCCCUCCUCAGAAGUCUGCAUCCCAGCACUGUGGGGCCUCUUCUUCAAGCUUCUAGGGCUUUAGAGUUAGUUGAUUCAUCAGAUUACUAGUGUCGUUGAGUAUCUCCUUGGUGUAGUAGCAAGGUUGGUAGUAACAUUUCCAGAUAUGGCAUUAUUCAGAGAAAACAAAAGUUAUUUGUCUCUUUCUAUGGCUUUGUUUAGCAAGAAAAGACCUUUUCCCAGGAGCUUCUCAGGAGCAUCCCCUCAUGACUCAGCCAUGAGGGUAGGGUCACAAGCCCAUUCUCAGAUCAGUGUGAAUGGACUGGCCGGGUGCGGUAGCUCACACCUGUAAUCCCAGCAUUUUGGGAGGCUGAGGCAGGCGGAUCAUGAGGUCAGGAGAUCGAGACCAUCCUGGCUAACAUGGUGAAACCUCAUCUCUACUAAAAAUACAAAAAAUCAGCUGGCUGUGGUGGCACUCGCCUGUAGUCUCAAUUACAUGAUUUCAUGAAUAUGACAUCAAAAACACAGGCAACAGAAGCAAAAAUAAAUGGGACUACAUCAAACUUUAAAAUUUCUGCUCAACAAAGGAAAAAAUCCGCAGCAUGAAAAGUCAUCCUGCAAAUGGGAGGAAAUAUUUGCCAACCACAUAUCUGAAAAGGGGAUAAUAAUUGGAAUAUAUUUUAAAAACUCUGACAACCCAAUAACAACCAAAAACUUGAUUUAAAAAUGGGCAAACAACCUAAAUGGGCAUUUCUCCAAAGAAGAUAUACAAAUGGCCAAGAAGCAUAUGGAAGACAUGUUCAACAUCAUUAAUUAAAAGGGAAAAGUAAAUCAAAACCACAAUGAUAUAUCACUUUAUGUCUGUUAGGAUGGAUACUAUUAAAACAAACAAACAAAAAAAACAGAAAAUAACACACGUUGGAGAGGAUGUGGAGAAGUUGGAAUCCUCAUGUACUGUUGGUGGGAAUGUAAAAUGGUGCAGUCACUGUGGAAAACAACAUCGAGUUUCAUCAGAAAUUAAAAAUAGAGGAUUCCAUUCCAAGAUGGCCAAAUAUGAACAGCUCUGGUCUGCAGCUCCCAGCGUGAUUGACACAGAAGAUGGGUGAUUUCUGCAUUUCCAACCAAGGUACCUGCUUCAUCUCAUUAGGACUAGUUGGACAGUGGGUGCAGCCCAUGGGGGGCGAGCCAAAGCAGGGCGGGGCAUCGCCUCACCCAGGAAGGGCAAGGGGUCUGGGGAUUUCCCUUUCCUAGCAAAGGGA